GACGAACGCUGGCGGCGUGCUUAACACAUGCCAGUCGAACGGAAAGGCCCUGCUUUUGUGCGGUGCUCGAGUUGCGACCGGGUGAGUAACACGUGAGUAACCUGCCCUUGACUUUGGGAUAACUUCAGGCAACUGGGGCUAUUACCGGCUAGGAGCUCCUGCUGCAUGGUGGGGGUUGGAAAGUUUCGGCGGUUGGGGAUGGACUCGCGGCUUAUCAGCUCGUUGCGGGGGUAGUGGCUUACCAUGGCUUUGACGGGUAGCCGGGCUGCGAGGCGCGCCGGACACGUUGGGACGGGGAUGCGGCACAGACUCGUACGGGAGGCAGCGGAGGAGAAUAGUGCACAAUGGGCGGAGGCAUGAUGCAGCAACGCAGCGUGCGGGAUGAGGGCAAUCGGGUUGUAAACCGCUGUCGCCUGUGACGAAGCGUGAGUGACGGUAAUGGGUAAAGAAGCACCGGCUAACUACGUG
RNAcentral lists this ribosomal RNA (468 nucleotides) under uncultured bacterium. Its description in RNAcentral is "partial 16S ribosomal RNA". It matches the Rfam family "Bacterial small subunit ribosomal RNA", at positions 28 to 507 of the family's 1533-position model. The record is from RNAcentral.